GACGAACGCUGGCGGCGUGCCUAAUACAUGCAAGUAGAACGCUGAAGAGAGGAGCUUGCUCUUCUUGGAUGAGUUCGAACGGGUGAGUAACGCGUAGGUAACCUGCCUUGUAGCGGGGGAUAACUAUUGGAAACGAUAGCUAAUACCGCAUAACAAUGGAUGACACAUGUCAUUUAUUUGAAAGGGGCAAUUGCUCCACUACAAGAUGGACCUGCGUUGUAUUAGCUAGUAGGUGAGGUAAUGGCUCACCUAGGCGACGAUACAUAGCCGACCUGAGAGGGUGAUCGGCCACACUGGGACUGAGACACGGCCCAGACUCCUACGGGAGGCAGCAGUAGGGAAUCUUCGGCAAUGGGGGCAACCCUGACCGAGCAACGCCGCGUGAGUGAAGAAGGUUUUCGGAUCGUAAAGCUCUGUUGUAAGUCAAGAACGGGUGUGAGAGUGGAAAGUUCACACUGUGACGGUAGCUUACCAGAAAGGGACGGCUAACUACGUG
Molecule: ribosomal RNA, 496 nt
Filed under: uncultured bacterium
Lineage: Bacteria
Description: partial 16S ribosomal RNA
Rfam family: Bacterial small subunit ribosomal RNA
Source: RNAcentral